UUCGGUGGCGAUAGCGAAGAGGGUACACCCGUUCCCAUCCCGAACACGGAAGUUAAGCUCUUCAGCGCCGAUGGUACUGCGCGGGGGACUGCGUGGGAGAGUAGGUCGCCGCCGACA
This 117-nucleotide ribosomal RNA is filed under the name Deltaproteobacteria bacterium. Lineage: Bacteria; Pseudomonadati; Myxococcota; Myxococcia. The record is from RNAcentral.